UUUUUCCUGAGAUUAGGAGGUUUUUGCCGGACGAGACAAGCUCACCUGUUACUACUUGCUUGUUGCGGCUCUCUCAAGUGACGCUCACAUAAAAAAGAGAAGAUUUUUAGAGCGAGAGAGAACUUUUUUUUUUUUCCUUGUUAGUGAGAGAAAGAGUGAGUCUUUAGGGAGGGACAUGCUAUUGCUAUUACCAUUGUUGUCUUUUGAUUCACCCAUGUUGUUGUUGCUGUUGCUGUUAGUGUUGUCUCCUAAUCUUCUCCAGAUUUCAACAACACGCUCAGCCAUUUCUUCUUCUUAUUCAGGUAUGAGUUUAUGGGUACCAUUAUUCUCUUUCUUCUCCUGCUUCCCAUUUUACCCCUCUCUGUGUUCUGCUCUUCAUGCUACAUUUUACUCUCAAAAAGCCAUUCUGUUGUUAGAUCUAUCCAUUUUCUUGCUUUUUUGUGGAAAUGUCAUCUGGAUAUGCUUUAUUUUCUCGAUUUGAGCUGCGAAGUCGGCUCCUUUGAUAUUCUGCCAUCUAGACUCUGUUUUAUUUUGGUCAAAUCUUUCUAUAAAUGAUAGAUUUUGACGCCUUUUUGUUUAUAUAUUUUUUUAGCGUAAUAUGUUUUUUUAAUUUUUCUUUCCUCAGAUUCUGUUGAAUCCAAGAUUUUCCGUUCUUUUUUAUUUAUACAGUAAAGCUUUCCUCUCAAGUGAGAUCUUAUACUGUGAAAUAUCUACAUGCUCCAUUAGAUCUUGCUAAUUUUCUUCAUUUUUAACGGUGUUAUUGUUAUUUUUCUGCUGGUGUGGUGGUGUUAUAUGAAUUUUUUGUGGUGUUAGGGAUGCUAUCUUUAUCCUCUGUUCGGAUAUUCAGGUAACGCAGGAAAACAAAAGAAUGAAAGACACUAACGGACAGUUGUUGUGUCAUCUGGGACUCCUUGUAUCAAAAUCCUAGAUCUUAACUAUUUCUCUAAUGCUUGGUUCAAUGAUUUGUGUGAUAUGUCUUUUGGUUCUGUGGAUGGUAGAUGACUUGAAGAUUUUAUGGUUGACUUAUUCUUGAAUUGAAUUAACAUCCAUUUCACAUUCUUACUGACUCAAUGUUCAGGGAGAUUGUGGAUAUGACAAAUUUGAAAACAUUAUUUUGGACGCUGGUGUUCUUCAUGUCUCAUGAGGACUCUUGUUUAUUUAUGUUGGUGGUCUGAUGCUGCACAGUUUUACGCGGUUGGCUUCUGUUAAUUUUAGCAGUUGUGGGUGUUUUGGGUCCAUUAUUUUUGGUAUCUUUGCUUGGGCUCAAAUGUUCUGCUCUUUUAUGACUUCAUUUCUCUGUUUCACUGAGUAUUACAAUCCACUAACAAUUUAUUUGAAGUUUGCAUUCUUUCUUUGGUUUACAGAUUGCAUGAUUAAGGCCAAUAUUUUUCUCACGUUUCAUUAGAACUAGUCCAACCCACUAAUUUUUUAUCUAGCUCAUUUUAACUGUAUUACUGCAAUAUUGUCUACACCAACCUGUUUCUGUUCUUUAUGUGUUGUGUGGCAUUCCAGAUUCCUUUUCUCAAUCAAAUUCUAAUGUGAAGCCUGUUUGUGCACUACCCAUUAUCAUGCUUUAAUUACUGUUCAAUGGUAAACAAUUUAUCUAAACGCUAAGGGUUUUUCUGUUUUUAGGAGGGCUUUGACCAGUGCAUCACUAUACUUAGUAGUUUGAUUGUGUAAUUCCUCCUGCAGUCUCUUAAAACAGCUCGAUGGGUUCUCGGUUCCCAUCUCAUCAGCUUAGCAAUGGCCUUUAUGUAUCGGGCAGGCCUGAGCAGCCAAAGGAAAGGACUCCAACAAUGAGCUCUGUGGCCAUGCCAUACACUGGUGGUGAUAUCAAGAAGUCAGGAGAAUUGGGUAAAAUGUUUGAUAUUCCUGUGGAUGGCUCAAAGUCUAGGAAAUCUGGACCUAUAGCUGGUGCUCCUUCAAGGACAGGAUCAUUUGGAGGUGCUGCUUCUCAUUCAGGACCAAUCAUGCCUAAUGCAGCUGCUAGAGCUGCCUAUACCACAUCGGGUGCUGCAUCUUCUGGAGGCGUGUCUGGUUCAGCUUCAUUAAAGAAAUCUAAUUCUGGACCCUUAAAUAGGCAUGGAGAUCCUGUAAAAAAGACAUCUGGCCCUCAGUCUGGUGGAGUAACUCCCUCUGGCCGCCAAAACUCUGGCCCCCUUCCUCCUGUUCUUCCUGCAACUGGUCUCAUUACAUCUGGGCCUAUUUCAUCAGGUCCCCUAAAUUCAUCUGGGGUGCCUCGAAAGCUAUCAGGCCCUUUAGAAUCUAUGGGAUCAAUGAAAAUCCCAGGAUCUGCUGUUGUUCACAAUCAAGCAGUUACUGUCUUUAGCCAAGAAGAUGACUUUUCUUUCCGAAAGAACUUCCCAAAGCCAAUAUUGUGGUCACUGAUUCUACUUUUUGUCAUGGGUUUCAUUGCUGGUGGUUUUAUACUUGGAGCAGUGCAUAAUGCCAUUCUUCUAAUUGUUGUUGUGGUUCUUUUUGGUGCUGUUGCUGGAUUAUUCAUAUGGAAUACCUUCUUUGGGAGGAGGGCUAUCAUGGGUUUUAUUGCUUGUUACCCAGAUGCUGAGCUGCGAAAUGCGAAGAAUGGACAAUUUGUAAAGAUAUCUGGGGUGGUCACCUGUGGAAAUGUACCUCUUGAGUCAUCCUUCCAAAAAGUUCCUAGAUGUGUAUAUACGUCCACAAGUUUGUAUGAGUAUCGAGGAUGGGAUUCAAAAGCAGCCAACCCAACUCAUCGCCGUUUCACCUGGGGACUCAGAUCAUUAGAACGACGUGCAGUUGACUUCUACAUCUCUGAUUUCCAAUCUGGGUUGAGAGCAUUGGUUAAAACUGGCUAUGGAGCGAGGGUGACCCCUUAUGUUGAUGAUUCCCUUGUCAUUGAUGUCAACCCUAGUACUGAAGAGUUGUCUCCUGAGUUCAUCAGAUGGUUGGGAGAAAGGAACCUAUCAAGAGAUGAUCGAAUAAUGCGAAUGAAAGAAGGGUAAGAGCUCUCUCUUGCUGAGAGAAAUGCUUUUUUAUUAUUGUUUUUCUAAUACUACAAUAAAAUCCUCUCUCUCCCUCUCCCCCUCUCCCCCCCAACAAAACACUCCCCUCUCCUUUUUUCCUUCUGUAGAACGUUGAUGAUAGAAAACGCACAUUGCCCGUAUCUGGGAAGUAUUAUUUUAUUAGGUUCAUUAUUAAUAAUGGGUGGAUAAUGCUUGAAUCCUGCAGGAGUGACAAUCAGAGAUGAUAGUUAAUAUGUCUACAAGUGAGAGUGUAUGCCUUAAGUUUGCUGGCAAUGUGCUGCCAGCCUCAAUUUUUUGGGUUAAACCUAAUUAAAUCCUCUGGGUCUGCAUGCAUUGGAUUUAUGCCCCAAGUAUUUUGGGAACUCUGAGCCUUGAAGUGUCUCAUAUAUUAGUAUAUGGUUUAGCCAAGCACUACUGUCCUAUGGUCAAUUUAGUUAAAAGCUAAAUGACUUGGAUUUUUUUUUUUCCUGUUAUUAAUAUAUAAGUUAGCAUUAGUAUAGUGCCAUUUAUCAGUUUUGUAAAUUUGUAGAAAUUGCAAAUGUUGUUUAUACAGGUAUAUCAAAGAAGGAAGCACUGUUAGUGUAAUGGGAGUUGUUCAAAGGAAUGAUAAUGUGCUUAUGAUUGUACCUCCACCUGAGCCAAUUACAACAGGUUGCCAAUGGGCCAAAUGUAUUUUUCCAGCAAGCCUCGAUGGUAUUGUUUUGAGAAGUGAAGACACCUCGAAGAAUGAUGUCAUACCAGUGUAAUAAUGUUGUAGACACACCAUACUGUUCUCUUUUAUUCUUUUUAUUCACUAUUAAUAUUGACGGUGGCUGCAAUGAUGAUGGUAUUCGGCAAGUGAUGGUCAGGUGGCUGCAGCGGCAUUGUUCUGUUUUUCAUUUGCCCUUGGUGUAUAGUUUUGGUGUUUCGUGCCAUUUCUUUUUUUCUUCUAGGUCUUGAUGGCUUUUGUAAUGGGGUUGGCUUGGUAUUGUAGGGAAUUUUACAUGUUUGAGCAGAUUGCGGUUAUGUUAAAUAGAAAGAAAAAGGUUGUGAGCUAUUCAGCAUAUUGUCAUCUGGACUAGAAAUUAUCCUUUUAUUUUUGUUUACACGUAAUGCUGGGAAUCAUACAAAUUUGAGCUUCUGUUAUGAAAUCAUCUGAUACCUGCACUUGUAUCAGCUUGGGAUGACAAGCACUCAA
RNAcentral lists this unclassified non-coding RNA (4179 nucleotides) under Hevea brasiliensis (rubber tree). The record is from RNAcentral. Lineage: Eukaryota; Viridiplantae; Streptophyta; Magnoliopsida; Malpighiales; Euphorbiaceae.